RNAcentral lists this ribosomal RNA (2315 nucleotides) under Triticum aestivum (bread wheat). Its description in RNAcentral is "partial small subunit ribosomal RNA". Lineage: Eukaryota; Viridiplantae; Streptophyta; Magnoliopsida; Poales; Poaceae. The record is from RNAcentral.
GCGGUUUGCUUAUUGUCCGGAGCUUGGUCUAGGUGAGGUGUACCUUGGGAGCAGGUGUUCAGGAGGAGGGUCUGGUUGCGGCGGCGGCGGCGGCGGGGGUAGGCGGGAGGCGGGAGCUGGAGUAGGUGGUUGGACACGUUGGGGUAGCCCCAUGUGCGGGCAGCUGAGUAGCAACGGAAGGAAGCAGUGGCGGUGGCCCCGCCCAGUUGACGCGGCCACACCGCUCCGGCUUCAGUUGCAUCAGAGGGAACUAUGACACCCGCGCCGCUGCUGUUCGCGCUCUACUUAGUCACAAGAACCGUGGAGACGGUAGAGUCCCAGUAGCGCGGUGGUGGUGCGACCGCGCGAGGUGAAGAGGUACCGGGAGAUUCGGCUACUCGUACCCACUCGAGGGAUGGUGACGAGGGAGGUGGCGCAACCGUACUCGCCACGGACGAGGAGGGAUGCAACCUGUUGUGCGACGAGUCUAGACAGUACCACUUUAGAGGAGUAGAAAGGGCACCGUGAGGACACGAGUCACCUCCACUCCUACAAUCUAAAAAACCACACUCGAAAACGGGUUGAAGAACCCAGCUAAAAGAAAAGGACGAUGGUCUGGCGGUCGCUGGUACCGGAAACAUGGAAAAGGACAAGUACUCGAACCUCUCGACUUUGAAACGAUAAACACGGAUGGAAACCGGUGUUACAAAGAAUCGUUUAUAAGUAGUAGAAUGUAAAAUAUAUACUAUAAGAUAAAACGGUGAACUUUUGUUAUUCCCUCAUCUUAUUGAUCUUUUCUUCUUACUCCGAUCUGGGAAAACUUCCUUAGACGACAGGAUUGUUCCUUGUACAUUUCUCGUGAGGACCCUUUUUCUUCCUUUGUUGUUAGAACGUUUACUUAUUUCUUUGUUUUCGAACUAUUGUUUAAAAAGGUAAUCAUCAUUGUGGAGAGAAGUGUGUAUUAGACUAAAAGUUGUGAUAAUUAAUCCUAGAUGUACUAACCUCUGUGAUUCAGUAGUGUGACCAAUUGUGUUCAUUAAACACUCUCCUUGUGUUCACUUGAAAUGACAUGAAUAUAGACAAGUUAAAAGAGAGUCCUUUAGGAAAAAAUACUUGACUACCACCCCGAGUCGUCGUUUCCAUAUGUACACACCAUCGGCGAGAAAUGCAUAAAAAAAGGAUCAUGUAUAUGAAAGAGAAGAAUUGACCCCCGAAAAAGUUUUCCCUUCCUAGAGCACACAUUUUUAACCAACUGGAAUAAAAGAUAAGUAGGACUUACAUGACUUCACAGUUGUAAACACAUAACUAUUGAUUAGCAUUAUUAGAACUAUAUUCUAUAUAUAUGUGUGACUUCAGACUUUUGUACGAUCAUUUUGUUGAACGAACCUUUCGCUGUGAUGUAAAAUAUAACUUACUCUGACGGUGACGGUGUGGAAGCCAACGAUAUAUUUGUUACGUCAAUAACUCUUUUACCUCACCCUACAGUACGUUAACUUGACUCACGUUUAUAAAUCAAAAAAUAAUUUUAAUAGUCAUUUUCCUUCUCUGUCUUAAACAAUUACGUAAAUGCGGUAAAUCGAACAAGUUUAUAAAGAACCUCACUACAGUUGUCGUUCAGACUUAAUAUAGACUGGACGUCGGUAGCAGAGUAUAAAAACACACGAAAGGUAUGAAGACAAAUAGAAACAAUUCUAUUCAUACUCACCAUAAGAACACGUUAAAAGAAUUAGUCCGAAAACACACUCCCACGUAUAGAAGCCUUUUUUCUUACUGUUUUCCGUCCUCUUUCACUGUACCUGUUAUCUAAUCUUCUACGUUGCCGUCACACCCACUACCUUCUUCUUCUUGUCUCACAAUCUUCUAUAUUACUCUACUAUUCCAGAGCUUUACAAGUAAUAGAGCACCUUUAAUAAUUACGGAUACAUCGAACUCAAAGGCUGAACAACGUCUAAAGGGUUUCUAUGUGUUCAACUAGCUCCAAACCUUCUAGAUGUUCAACCUCGACCUCCAAACCUUCUGGAUGUUAAUUCAACGACAACAAUAUUACAUUAUACUGAACAAACAACUUGGACCUCUACCACCGUUCAUAAUGACAUGAGUAAAUCCACUAACAAAACCGUGUAUUCGGUGACAUACUAGUAAAACCAACACCGUGUAAAUCUUUGUAUUCAAUAAAAGGAAAACACCGUGUUGUAGGAAUAUACCAACUAAGUAUACAUAUACAUAGAUUUGUAUUCAUAAGCCAUACAUACAAAUAGUUUGCUUCAAAUUUUAAAACCUACUCCGGAUAUACAAUGAAACUAACUUCACUUAAAUAAUCAACACACAAUAAAGGA